GGGUAUACUCACUAGACAAGGGUAAGGCAGACUCGGUACCUGGGUCAACCCCUAGAGCUCGAAGAAGAAGAGUAAGAUGACGACCAAAGGGGAGACAACCUCGACUCAGCCUAAGGGAGUCUGCUAUAGAGUGAAUCAUAAUAUGUGGCAGGUUAAGGGCUCGACCCUCUAGCAGACAGGACACUACAAACAUGUCAGAGUAGGAGAGUGCAGUCCUAUGACCCGCUCUAGGGAGAAUCUCAUAGGUGACUAUGUGGUGAACAACUUUAGGGAG
RNAcentral lists this long non-coding RNA (274 nucleotides) under Manihot esculenta (cassava). RNAcentral's name for it is "long non-coding RNA (MESC_LNC009083)". Lineage: Eukaryota; Viridiplantae; Streptophyta; Magnoliopsida; Malpighiales; Euphorbiaceae. The record is from RNAcentral.